RNAcentral lists this ribosomal RNA (2585 nucleotides) under Triticum aestivum (bread wheat). Its description in RNAcentral is "partial small subunit ribosomal RNA". Lineage: Eukaryota; Viridiplantae; Streptophyta; Magnoliopsida; Poales; Poaceae. The record is from RNAcentral.
CUGCGGCCCACCCAUCCGCAUUCCGCAACUCUUUCCCUCCGCCCGCUCGCGCUCACGGCCGCCGCGAUGCCGCCACCGCCGCCGCCGCCGGUCCACCUCCGCCUCCGGGUCUCCAUCACCCCGCCCCACCCGCUCCCUCUCCCCUACUCCCGCCGCUUCUCCUCCGCCACGUCUGGCCUAGCCACCGCCCGCCACCUCUCCCUCCGCCGCGGCAGCCGGCGCCGCGCCCCCGUGUGCGCCGCGCGGAGCGAGGCCGCGGGGGCGGAGGGGUUCGACGAGGAGCUCGGAAGGCUCCUGGAGCUGCUCCCCGGGGAGCUGCGGCAGCGGGUGGAGGACCACCCGGAGCUCCCCGCGCUGGUGGAGGUGGUCAUGGACCUCGGCCGGCCCCCGCUCGCGCGCUUCCCCUCCGGCGACUUCCUCCUCUCCCACCGCCCCAUAUCCUUCGACGACCUCCGCCAGGCCACUGCGAAGGUUGGGGACUUUGGAGGUGACAAUCGCGCUGGGAUUAGCCGCACGCUGCACCGGAUCAGCGCGAUCAGGAACAGGCAGGGAGACAUUGUGGGACUGACCUGCCGCGUCGGGAGGGCUGUGCCCGGAAGUGCUAAUUUGCUUCAGGAUCUGGUGAAGGAUGGUGGGUCGUUGCUGCUCAUCGGCCCACCAGGGGUGGGGAAGACAACUGUCAUAAGAGAAAUUGCACGAAUGCUAGCAGAUGAUUACGACAAGCGGGUGAUGAUUGUUGAUACAUCCAAUGAGAUAGGUGGAGAUGGUGAUAUUCCUCACCCAGGAAUAGGCAAUGCCCGUAGGUUGCAAGUGCCCAACCAAGAAAUGCAGCAUAAGGUGUUGAUAGAAGCUGUGGAGAAUCACAUGCCUCAGGCAAUCGUCAUCGAUGAAAUUGGAACUAAGCUAGAGGCUAUGGCUGCUAGCACCAUUGCACAGCGGGGGAUACAACUUGUUGCCUCCGCUCAUGGUGUAACAAUAGAGAAUCUGACCAUGAAUCCUUCACUAGAUAUGCUUGUAGGAGGAAUACAGAGCGUCACCCUUGGCGAUGAAGAAGCAAGCAGGAGAAGGGUACAAAAAACUGUCCUAGAGCGCAAGGGCCCAUCAACAUUUGCAUAUGCUGUAGAGAUCGUGUCGAAAACUGAGUUACGUGUCCAUCGUAGCCUGGAAGCUACAGUAGAUGCUCUGCUUGCAGGUAGAAUGCCUAAUGUUGAAAUUCGUAAGUUAGGUUCAACCGGCUCGGUGCAGCAGGAAGUUUCUGUGCAGAAGGAUCAAUUUCGUCGUGCUCCUUACGAAAUUGCGUCUCAAUCUGAAGUUGCUUCCUUAAGUAAUGCAAGAACAAGCUUGGACUCUGCAUUUAAUCUUGAUUCUGCCAACGGACAUAUAGAGAACUCUAAUGUGUCUGAGGCAGCCUUCAAUCUCUAUGCUUAUGGGAUAUCCGAGGAAAUUGCCUUGCAAGCGAUUAAACAACUGGAGCUGGAGGAAAUGAUUACUUUGACUUAUAAUAUCAGUGAAGCUGAUGCAGUGAUUGCUUUGCAAUCGAAGCUCAAGAAGAAUUCUCAGAUUCAGGCUGUGUUGAAAUCUGAAGAUAUACCGGUUUUCUUCGCUAAGACGAACUCCCUGGUGCAAAUUACCCGGGCACUUCGCGUCCUUGUCGAUGAUCACGUGGAUGGGUUGAUCGAUGUUGAAGAUAAGGAGGAAGUAAGAUCGUCUGAGGAAACCGAUGCUUUGGAGGAAGCAAGAUUGGCAGUCGAGCAGGUAGUGAUCCCGAAAGGGGAGAGCGUGCAGCUCCUGCCUAGACCAUCGACCAUCAUCUCCUCCCAAGUAAACCUCGUCGAAAGCUUCAACCUCAAGUGGGAAAUCACAGGCCAGGAGCCAAACGCGUGCCUGAGGAUCCUUCCGCAGUUCGCGGACAGGGAAGUAGGUUCUGCCUCGGAGCAAGAGUCCGCACCCGGGCUCACAGAUUCAGAUAGCAGCUCCGAUGGCAUGGACUAUACACAGAGCGGCGUCGCCAGGCUACCCUUCCUCCCGGAGUAGCAUCCUGCCGAGUUCUUUCGCUGUCUGUGUCUCUGUACCUAGAUGUAUAUUCCAUUCCUUUCUUUUUGCAGCCGUUGGUCGUUGUUGAUACCCCGGUAAUUCUCUCUCUCUCAACUUAAAGUAACUCUGUUUAAUUACAGUGGCUGUUAGGCAGAUAGAUAGUGCUGCUUUCCAACUCAUACCGAACAUAACAGGAUCGGGUCCAACUCAGAGCUGCACGACAACGUUUGGCAGGAGAUACAUGCCUGCUGACCCAGCUGGCCUGGCCAAAGACCGGAUCAUGUUGAAAGUGCAUGCAGCGGAUCCUGCGUCUUCCCCGCAAUACGCCACAUCGAAGAGACCAGUGACGCAGCACGCAGGGCUGCUUGCCGGUGUGAGGACUGAGGACGGAGUUCAGCGAUGGAUGGACUUGCAUGCAUAUGUGUUGAGCCUCGUGACCCCGGCCGUGACAUACGCUGUUCUCUGACCGUCAUCACAGAGCGCAACAGCUGGGUCAGCAUGCAUGUAUCUCUCGUCGGCUCGCGAGUCGCGACAGCGCGGCGAAGCAAAAC